Molecule: ribosomal RNA, 496 nt
Filed under: uncultured bacterium
Lineage: Bacteria
Description: partial 16S ribosomal RNA
Rfam family: Bacterial small subunit ribosomal RNA
Source: RNAcentral
AUGAACGCUGGCGGCGUUCCUAAUACAUUCAAGUCGAGCGAACAGACGAGGAGCUUGCUCCUCUGACGUUAGCGGCGGACGGGUGAGUAACACGUGGAUAACCUACCUAUAAGACUGGGAUAACUUCGGGAAACCGGAGCUAAUACCGGAUAAUAUAUUUAACCGCAUGUUUCAAUAGUGAAAUACGGUUUUGCUGUCACUUAUAGAUGGAUCCGCGCCGCAUUAGCUAGUUGGUAAGGUAACGGCUUACCAAGGCAACGAUGCGUAGCCGACCUGAGAGGGUGAUAGGCCACACUGGAACUGAGACACGGUCCAGACUCCUACGGGAGGCAGCAGUAGGGAAUCUUACGCAAUGGGCGAAAGCCUGACGGAGCAACGCCGAGUGAGUGAUGAAGGUCUUCGGAUCGUAAAACUCUGUUAUUAGGGAAGAACAAAUGUGUAAGUAACUAUGCACGUCUUGACGGUACCUAAUCAGAAAGCCACGGCUAACUACGUG